CUUCAUCAGCAAUGGAAGUGGCUGAUAUGUGGACUCUGCAGAUUAUAUAACCUUCCUAAGCACCCGAAUGUUGAGAUGCCAGAUCAACCACUACCCAUGGGUCAGAAUGGGACAACAGAAGAAGUGACUUCAAAAGAAGAGGAAGAAGAAGAGAUGGAUGAAGUGGGUAUUUUAUAUAAGAAUAACAUUUUGGCCAGGAUAUAGAAGACUUAGAUCACUGUGAGAUGAAAGAAGAGCCUACUAGUGAGAAGAAGUUGGAGGAUGAAGGAACUGAAAAAGAAAACUGGGCAAUAUUAGAGAAAAUUAGGAAGACUGAAAGGCAAGGCCAUUUAAAUGUGUUGACCCUGAUAGUUCUUUGCACAGUGAUCUUCAGAUCUUA
RNAcentral lists this long non-coding RNA (379 nucleotides) under Homo sapiens (human). RNAcentral describes it as "non-protein coding lnc-WDR73-3:12". The record is from RNAcentral. Lineage: Eukaryota; Metazoa; Chordata; Mammalia; Primates; Hominidae.